GAUGAACGCUGGCGGCGUGCCUAAUACAUGCAAGUCGAGCGAACAGACGAGGAGCUUGCUCCUCUGACGUUAGCGGAGGACGGGUGAGUAACACGUGGAUAACCUACCUAUAAGACUGGGAUAACUUCGGGAAACCGGAGCUAAUACCGGAUAAUAUAUUGAACCGCAUGGUUCAAUAGUGAAAGACGGUUUUGCUGUCACUUAUAGAUGGAUCCGCGCCGCAUUAGCUAGUUGGUAAGGUAACGGCUUACCAAGGCGACGAUGCGUAGCCGACCUGAGAGGGUGAUCGGCCACACUGGAACUGAGACACGGUCCAGACUCCUACGGGAGGCAGCAGUAGGGAAUCUUCCGCAAUGGGCGAAAGCCUGACGGAGCAACGCCGCGUGAGGGAGGAAGGUCUUCGGAUCGUAAAACUCUGUUAUUAGGGAAGAACAAAUGUGUAAGUAACUAGGCACGUCUGGACGGUACCUAAUCAGAAAGCCACGGCUAACUACGUG
This 497-nucleotide ribosomal RNA is filed under the name uncultured bacterium. Its description in RNAcentral is "partial 16S ribosomal RNA". It matches the Rfam family "Bacterial small subunit ribosomal RNA", at positions 28 to 507 of the family's 1533-position model. The record is from RNAcentral.